UUACUACUGUCCACCAGACUUGCAGACAAAGCAGACCCCGGAGGAAGCUGAGGCAUGACUUCUCAGGAGCCAGCCUUCCAUAUGCAAUUUUCCUCUGAUAGUUCCUGGGUACUGUUGCCACGGUGAUAGUGACUGUCCAUGUCAUUAUCUAUCCACCAAGAGUAAGAGAAGCUUUGCAGUCGAGAUAUUGUUUAACAGAUGGAGUGGUUUCUGUUGGACACUAAGUACUGCUACAAAU
Small nucleolar RNA from Myotis lucifugus (little brown bat), 238 nucleotides. The record is from Ensembl. NCBI's taxonomy places the organism in Eukaryota, Metazoa, Chordata, Mammalia, Chiroptera, Vespertilionidae.